ACUCAGUGAACUGAAACAUCUUAGUAGCUGAAGGAAGAGAAAGCAAACGCGAUUCCCGGAGUAGUGGCGAGCGAAAUGGGAACAGCCUAAACCAAUAUUUUAUAUUGGGGUCGUGGGAAAACAUGAUUUUUAAAAUUAAUAAAAAUUUAAACGAAACAGCUGAAUCCUGUACCAAAGAAGGUAAAAGUCCUGUAGUUGAAAAAUUCAAAUUAAUUUUUAACAACUAAGUUAGUUAUGUUUAUCCCGAGUAGCAUGGGACACGAGAAAUCCCGUGUGAAUCAGCGAGGACCACCUCGUAAGGCUAAAUACUCUUAGGUGACCGAUAGUGAAGUAGUACCGUGAGGGAAAGGUGAAAAGAACCCCUGUAGGGGAGUGAAAUAGAACAUGAAACCCUAUGCUGACAAGCAGUGGGAGGUACUUAAGUACUGACCGCGUACCUGUUGAAGAAUGGGCCGGCGACUUAGAAUGCGUGGCAAGGUUAAGGACAAUAAUCCGGAGCCAGAGCGAAAGCAAGUCUGAAUAGGGCGAGUUGAGUCACGUAUUCUAGACCCGAACCCGGGUGAUCUAACCAUGACCAGGAUGAAGCUUGGGUAAUACCACGUGAAGGUCCGAACCCACUGAUGUUGAAA
Molecule: ribosomal RNA, 629 nt
Filed under: uncultured bacterium
Lineage: Bacteria
Description: bacterial LSU rRNA
Rfam family: Bacterial large subunit ribosomal RNA
Source: RNAcentral